Molecule: ribosomal RNA, 469 nt
Filed under: uncultured haloarchaeon
Lineage: Archaea; Methanobacteriati; Methanobacteriota; Halobacteria; Halobacteriales; Halobacteriaceae
Description: bacterial SSU rRNA
Rfam family: Archaeal small subunit ribosomal RNA
Source: RNAcentral
ACGCCAGUGCGAUAAGGGGAUCCCAAGUGCGUAGGCAUAGAGCUACGCUUUUGUCCACCCUAGGGUGGUGGACGAAUAAGGGCUGGGCAAGACCGGUGCCAGCCGCCGCGGUAAUACCGGCAGCCCGAGUGAUGGCCGAUCUUAUUGGGCCUAAAGCGUCCGUAGCUGGCCGCACAAGUCCAUCGGGAAAUCCACCUGCUCAACAGGUGGGCGUCCGGUGGAAACUGUGUGGCUUGGGACCGGAAGGCGCGACGGGUACGUCCGGGGUAGGAGUGAAAUCCCGUAAUCCUGGACGGACCGCCGAUGGCGAAAGCACGUCGCGAAAACGGAUCCGACAGUGAGGGACGAAAGCUAGGGUCUCGAACCGGAUUAGAUACCCGGGUAGUCCUAGCCGUAAACACUGCCUGCUAGGUGUGGCACCCACUACGAGUGGGUGCUGUGCCGUAGGGAAGCCGCUAAGCAGGCCGCC